Molecule: ribosomal RNA, 406 nt
Filed under: uncultured bacterium
Lineage: Bacteria
Description: partial 16S ribosomal RNA
Rfam family: Bacterial small subunit ribosomal RNA
Source: RNAcentral
AUUGAACGCUGGCGGCAGGCUUAACACCUGCAAGUCGAACGAGCGGCGGACGGGUGAGUAAUGUCUGGGAAACUGCCUGAUGGAGGGGGAUAACUACUGGAAACGGUAGCUAAUCCCGCAUACCAUCAGGUGUGCCCAGAGGGGCGUAGCUAGUAGGUGGGGUGAGGGCUCACCUAAGCGACGAUCCCUCGCUGGUCUGAGAGGAUUACCAGCAAAACCGGAACAGAGACACGGUCCCGACUCCUCAGGGGGGCAGCAGGUGGGAAUAAUGCACAAUGGGGGCAAGCCUGAUGCAACCAUGGCCCGUGUGAGAAGGAGGCCUUCGGGUUUUAAAGCACUUUCAGCGAGGGGGCGGUACUCGCAGAAGAAACACCGGCUAACCCCGGGCCAAGCGCCGCGGUAAUAC